RNAcentral lists this transfer RNA (76 nucleotides) under Oligosphaera ethanolica. Its description in RNAcentral is "tRNA-Phe". It matches the Rfam family "tRNA". Rfam says of the family: Transfer RNA (tRNA) molecules are approximately 80 nucleotides in length. Their secondary structure includes four short double-helical elements and three loops (D, anti-codon, and T loops). Lineage: Bacteria; Pseudomonadati; Lentisphaerota; Oligosphaeria; Oligosphaerales; Oligosphaeraceae. The record is from RNAcentral.
GGCGGGGUAGCUCAGUUGGUAGAGCAGAGGACUGAAAAUCCUUGUGUCGCCGGUUCGACCCCGGCCCUUGCCACCA